AACAUGAACAUGGGCCACUGGGUCUUCUCCUCAGAGGAAGUGCUCUGGUUGUAGACACAAGACAUGACCUUGUUUCCUAGGCAACCUGUCCAAAAAGAACUUGGAAUCCUCAUGAACACGAGUCACAAUAGAGUGACGGAUACGUCCUGAGCUCACUUGUUUAGAGACGGUGAACAGCAAAUAUGCUGAGCUGCUUCUCAACUUUUCAAGGCAAGAGCCAGAGGACUUCAGGCAGAGAAAGUUUCUUUCAAAGAUGGAGAAAAUGGUAAACUCUCCCCAGGCAUGUAAGGCUACACUGCAAGAGCCGCUCAACGAAAACCCAGGCCAGAUCUCCCCAGCUGUGACCACCAUGAGCCAUGAGCCACCAAGGAGCCUGGGCUCACCUGCCCUAAAUAGGAAGGUUCCAGAAAGCCCAGGAAAUGUCACCGCAGGCCCUGGCAUGAAGUACCCUGAGACACUAAAGGGUCAAGGGGUCUCCUCAGACCCAGCUUCUAAGCACCAAAGGGCUCCAAGGGACCUAGGGAAGAUGUGCCAGGGAUCUGCCACCAGGUACCAAAAUCCAGCAAAGAUCCCAGGACAGGUCUCCUCAGGCCUGAACGCCAGUCACAGGGAAACACUGGGGAACCCGAGAAAAGUCUCCUUAGGCCCAAUUCAUCAGGACACAAAGACACCAAGGAGACCAAGGCAGGUCUCUCAAGGCCCAGCCACCCAGUCCUCAGAGAUACCACCUAGCACUGGGCAGGUGUGCCCACACCUGACAACCAGAAGCCCAGAAACUGCAAGAGGCCCCAAGUGUGACACUGAGGGCCCAGGCAAAAAUAGCCCAGAGUCACUGAGGAGAGUGGGGGAAGGUUACCCAUGGAAGGUCUUCCCUAUCAUAGUCAAAUCAGAUCCACAAAUAACUGGGAGCCUACCUAAAGACUGGGAGAUCUUGCCAAAGAAGAUCUUCCCUGGCACAGCCAUGGGUCACCUACAAAUACCUAGAGGCCCAGGAGAGGUCUUCCCAGAGGAGAUUUUCCCGAGCCUGGCCAUGAAGAACCCAGAAAGACACAGGAGCCCAGGAGAGGUCUUCCCAGAGGAGAUUUUCCCGAGCCUGGCCAUGAGGAACCCAGAAAGACACAGGAGCCCAGGAGAGGUCUUCCCAGAGGAGAUUUUCCCGAGCCUGGCCAUGAGGAACCCAGAAAGACACAGGAGCCCAGGAGAGGUCUUCCCAGAGGAGAUUUUCCCGAGCCUGGCCAUGAGGAACCCAGAAAGACCCAGGAGCCCAGGAGAGGUCUUCCCAGAGGAGAUUUUCCCGAGCCUGGCCAUGAGAAAUCCAGAAAGACCCAGGAGCCCAGGCGAGGUCUUCCCAGAGGAGAUUUUCCUGAGCCUGGCCAUGAGAAAUGCCUAGAUCACAGGCUGUUCUGGUGAUGAGGCUCCUGGUGAGUCUGCAUAUGCUUCUUGCACCAGAAACUCUGCAAGAUGUUGGAGGUAAAAAGAGCAUAUAUUCAGGAGGAAAUUCACUAAUCAUUUCUCUGCCAAUUCUUAUAUAUUUUCCACGAUUAAGGAUGAUUAAGGAUAAUUAAGUAUCCUACAAUGACAGGAAUGUUAACCAUAUCACUGAAGCAGUAUGUCACUAAGAAAGACAUUUUGUUUCUCAGGACCUCAUACUAUAUAAAAUGACUACGCUGAUAGCCUUAGAUACUUUUCAGCUCUAAGAUCAAUGCUACUAUUCUGACUGGAACACAAGUUAAUCAACCGUUGAAGCUCAUUUCAUUAGUGAGUCACUAUUUCCAAAAAGAUUUAGACACAGUCACAUUGUUCAAAGUCUAAUCAUCCUUUGUGGCAUCAUUUUUCUCUGGUGUAUUUUGUGGAACAUUCAUUACUCUACCAUGGAAUGUGCCCAAUCCAUGGUAUAAAUUAUACGAUACUUUUAGAUGGCUGAAUGUGUAAUAUAAAAUCAUGACUCAAAUUCCGGGUUGGACUGACAGUAUGUAACUAAAUACAGGCCUUGUAAUUUUACACAAACCUAAAAAGUAAACAUAAACACAACACCUGUAAUGGAAGAAGAGUUUCCACACAAGUAGAAUAAGGCCUAUAAAUUUUCAGAACUUGUUAACAGCACAACUUUUUUUUCCCCACAUAAAAGAUUUACAUGGA
Molecule: RNA transcript, 2139 nt
Organism: Fukomys damarensis (Damara mole-rat)
Lineage: Eukaryota; Metazoa; Chordata; Mammalia; Rodentia; Bathyergidae
Gene name: neurofilament heavy polypeptide-like
Exons: 3
Source: RefSeq, a predicted model, not a curated record